Equus caballus (horse) is the source of this 2472-nucleotide long non-coding RNA. Lineage: Eukaryota; Metazoa; Chordata; Mammalia; Perissodactyla; Equidae. The record is from Ensembl.
UUUUUUUUUUUAUUUUUAAGAAAAGAAACAAAUGCUUUAUUUUCUGUACUACUGCCAAGUCAUUAUUUAAUUCAGUGUAUUGAAUGUAUUUCAUUUUUCUUGUCUUUGAAGACAUUUCCAUUGAAGCUUCUUUUUCUAAUGUUUACUGACUGAUUUUAGGUGUGCUGCACGAUUCUAAUUUUGGGUUUAUUUUAUUUGGAAGUCAUUUUAUAUAUAUAUAUAUAUAUACAUAUUUAUUUCAUGCCAUAUUACUCAUUGAUUUGAUUUUCACCUUUGUUUUGCUAACUUUUUGUCAUACAAGGUGCAACGAGUGGUAAAUUUUCAAAACUGUUUUAUACUUGAAAAUGUCAUUUUUUUUUUUUUUGUUCAGGGGACUGCAUCUCACAUUUUCCUAAUAGUUUAAUGAAAUAUAUAAUACUUGAUCCGUAAUAAUAUUGAUUUCAAACUUUGAAAGCGUUUGUUCCAAUGUCUUCCUCUAUCCAGCGUUUCUGAUCAGAGUCAUCAGACAGCCUGAAUCUUAUUCCUUUGUAAAUGAUGUAUUUCUGUCUCUGGAGGCUUUUAGCAAUUUCUCUUCCUUUUUGGUCCUUCAAAAUCUCACAAUAAAGUGUUAAUCUGGAUUUUUUCCCUCUUUUUCCCGCUCAGCACUUGAUAUGGUGGCUCAUGCAAUUUGAAGUUUUGUGUUUCUCUUCAGAGGAUCCACAAUGCCAUGCUCAGUCCAGCUCCUCAAACUGGAGUUCCUCGCCUGAUGACUUUAAUAAAGGAUUCAAGUGAUGUACUUUGUAGGUACACAAUAAAGCACUUCAACGAGCCUUCAUUUCCUGAGUUGUAAAAUGUGAACAAUCACAAGAUAAUAGAUGAACUUUGGUAGCUUUUUUUUUUUUCCACAUUGACAUGAAUCUGGCUAGCUCUUUGUCUUCCCCAAUCUACACAGAGUUCACUGUUUAGGUCCUGAGAUCCUCAGCUACUGUUUAAUUAAAUUAGGAGAAGAAAGAUUGCGGUUCACUAUAUUCAUGGCAAAGUUCAGGUCAAUAUUAAAAAUCAUAUGAACACCACUUCAGUACUUAAUUAGAGGAAUGAUGUCUUAACAGAUUUCUUUUUCUCUUCUGGGUACUCAGCUAUGGCCAGGAAUCAGAAAAUCUUUUGCCUUUCUCUGAUUUCCCUUGAAUUGCGCUUUUUAUCUAUAUUAUAUAAUGAAGUUACCAAAAAUAAUUAGUUCUGCAUCUGGCUGAUUCUGAAAAACAUUGCAAGCUAAUUCUGGAUAAAAUACUAAUCAUUUUUUCAAAUUUCCAUAUUACUUUUAAAAAGCAUGCUGGAUGAAUAAGUUCUAGAAAUCUGCUGUACAACUUAGCACCUACAGUUAACAACACAGUAUUGUGCACUUCAAAAGUUAAGAGAGAUCUCAUGUUAAGUGUUUUUACCAUAAAAAAAUGAAACAAAAAACAAAGGAACACAAGAAAACUUUGGGCAGUGUUGCUUAUGUCUGUAACCUUGAUGAUGGUGAUGGUAUCACAGGUGUUCUCAUGCGUGCAAACUCAUCAAAUUGUACAUGUUAGAUUGUUCUGUUCUUUGUAUAUCAUUAUAAUCUCAAUAAAGCUGUGAAAAAAGUCAAAUGUAUUAAUAAUAAUAUAACAAAAAAUUAAACAAUAACGUGAUAUAAAAUUUACACAACAAAACAUUUUGUCGGACACUUUAAACCAUAGGAUACACUUCAGAUAAACUUCCUGCAGGCUGACUUCUAAAGGCAAAGCUACUCUAGAUUGCGGUAGCUAUGGAAUGGAGACUGAAACUAGAUAGACAAUAAAAUUAGGGUUGUUAUAUCAGAGAGGGUGUUUUAAAAAAGUUGUUUUAUAAAGUUAAUUAUUUCUUCGCUUCCUUUCUCCAGUUAAUACCUCAUAUAGCAGUGACUUCUCCUGCUGCAAUAUAAAAUACUAUAUAACCCCUAUAUUCUAUUGCAGCACAGCUCAGAGGCAGCUGUACAAGAGAGAAGAUCUGAAUGAUACAGACAGCUGAGUCUGGCAUUUUACAAAAAUUAGAGUGCAAAAACAGCAGAUCAGAGAGCAUUGAGCAAUGAGCAGAUCCAUUGAAAAUUUUGUAGAAUACAUUGGAAGAUUAAGAACCAGCUUAUGCUGCAACAUUUGAAUUGUAUAAAAAUGGGACUUGGCUUGAUAGAAUGGCAGAAAUACUUGAUUAUGAUUCAUCACUUAAUGUUUAAAGUUAAUAUUUAAUAUUAAAGUCUCUAAUAAAAAUAAGUGGCAACUUAAGUGCAUAUUAGCAAAAAAAAAAAGAUAGGAUACAAUCAACUAUUACAAUCAGGAAGGCACAAAUGUAGUAGAAUGGAUUUGGAACCAAAGAAGGGGUAGUACCCUUAGCCAUACAUGAAUAAAAUGGCACAGAUCAUUCCAUAGUGAGUAAGAGAGAGGGAAGAAGAAAGGACUGGAAACAGAAUGAGUCUCAGUCUAUGUACAGGUAGAA